This 58-nucleotide transfer RNA is filed under the name Mus musculus (house mouse). It matches the Rfam family "tRNA", at positions 8 to 63 of the family's 71-position model. From Rfam's summary of the family: Transfer RNA (tRNA) molecules are approximately 80 nucleotides in length. Their secondary structure includes four short double-helical elements and three loops (D, anti-codon, and T loops). Further hydrogen bonds mediate the characteristic L-shaped molecular structure. tRNAs have two regions of fundamental functional importance: the anti-codon, which is responsible for specific mRNA codon recognition, and the 3' end, to which the tRNAs corresponding amino acid is attached (by aminoacyl-tRNA synthetases). tRNAs cope with the degeneracy of the genetic code in two manners: having more than one tRNA (with a specific anti-codon) for a particular amino acid; and 'wobble' base-pairing, i.e. permitting non-standard base-pairing at the 3rd anti-codon position. The record is from Rfam by way of RNAcentral. Lineage: Eukaryota; Metazoa; Chordata; Mammalia; Rodentia; Muridae.
UAGCUCAGUUGGUGGAGUACUUGCCUGGAAAGCAGGAAGAUCUGAGUUUGAUUCCCUG